Molecule: non-coding RNA, 171 nt
Filed under: Herbaspirillum sp.
Lineage: Bacteria; Pseudomonadati; Pseudomonadota; Betaproteobacteria; Burkholderiales; Oxalobacteraceae
Description: FMN sequence
Rfam family: FMN riboswitch aptamer (RFN element)
About the family: The RFN element is a highly conserved domain that is found frequently in the 5'-untranslated regions of prokaryotic mRNAs that encode for flavin mononucleotide (FMN) biosynthesis and transport proteins. This element is a metabolite-dependent riboswitch that directly binds FMN in the absence of proteins. In Bacillus subtilis, the riboswitch most likely controls gene expression by causing premature transcription termination within the 5' untranslated region of the ribDEAHT operon and precluding access to the ribosome-binding site of ypaA mRNA.
Source: RNAcentral
ACAAGUUCUCGGGGCGGGGUGCAACUCCCCACCGGCGGUAAUCGUGCGGCGCCACCCGGCGUCAUCGCGUAGCCCGCGAGCGCCCGGCCAUCGAUGUUUCGGCGGCCGGGGUCAGCAGACCUGGUGAGAUCCCGGGGCCGACGGUCAUAGUCCGGAUGAAAGAGAACGGGA